GACGAACCGAGCGAACGUUGUUCGGAAUCACUGGGCUUAAAGGGCGCGUAGGCGGGCUGUCAAGUCUGGGGUGAAAUCCCACGGCUCAACCGUGGAACUGCCUUAGAUACUGACGGCCUCGAGGGAGAUAGGGGCGAGCGGAACUGUGAGUGGAGCGGUGAAAUGCGUAGAUAUCGAGAGGAACACCAGAGGUGAAGACGGGUUGCUGGGCUGACACUGACGCUGAGGCGCGAAAGCCAGGGGAGCAAACGGG
This 253-nucleotide ribosomal RNA is filed under the name uncultured bacterium. RNAcentral describes it as "partial 16S ribosomal RNA". It matches the Rfam family "Bacterial small subunit ribosomal RNA", at positions 524 to 776 of the family's 1533-position model. The record is from RNAcentral.